GGGCGUAAAGGGCUCGUAGGUGGUUUGUCGCGUCGUCUGUGAAAUUCCGGGGCUUAACUCCGGGCGUGCAGGCGAUACGGGCAUAACUUGAGUACUGUAGGGGUAACUGGAAUUCCUGGUGUAGCGGUGAAAUGCGCAGAUAUCAGGAGGAACACCGAUGGCGAAGGCAGGUCUCUGGGCCAUUACUGACGCUGAGAAGCGAAAGCGUGGGGAGCGAACAGGGUUAGAUACCCUGGUAGUCCACGCCGUAAACGUUGGGCGCUAGGUGUGGGUCCCAUUCCACGGGGUCCGUGCCGCAGCUAACGCAUUAAGCGCCCCGCCUGGGGAGUACGGCCGCAAGGCUAAAACUCAAAGGAAUUGACGGGGGCCCGCACAAGCGGCGGAGCAUGCGGAUUAAUUCGAUGCAACGCGAAGAACCUUACCAAGGCUUGACAUGUACCGGAAACCCUCGGAGACGGGGGCCCCGCAAGGCUGGUACACAGGUGGUGCAUGGUUGUCGUCAGCUCGUGUCGUGAGAUGUUGGGUUAAGUCCCGCAACGAGCGCAACCCUCGUUCUAUGUUGCCAGCGGUUCGGCCGGGGACUCAUAGGAGACUGCCGGGGUCAACUCGGAGGAAGGU
RNAcentral lists this ribosomal RNA (618 nucleotides) under uncultured Actinomycetes bacterium. RNAcentral's name for it is "bacterial SSU rRNA". It matches the Rfam family "Bacterial small subunit ribosomal RNA", at positions 556 to 1174 of the family's 1533-position model. The record is from RNAcentral. Lineage: Bacteria; Bacillati; Actinomycetota; Actinomycetes.